GUGGUCCGCUUCUCUGCACUAUGUCGGGUGGCCUCCUGAAGGCGCUGCGCAGCGACUCCUACGUGGAGCUGAGCCAGUACCGGGACCAGCACUUCCGGGGUGACAAUGAAGAACAAGAAAAAUUACUGAAGAAAAGCUGUACGUUAUAUGUUGGAAAUCUUUCUUUUUACACAACUGAAGAACAAAUCUAUGAACUCUUCAGCAAAAGUGGUGACAUAAAGAAAAUCAUUAUGGGUCUGGAUAAAAUGAAGAAAACAGCAUGUGGAUUCUGUUUUGUGGAAUAUUACUCACGCGCGGAUGCGGAAAACGCCAUGCGGUACAUAAAUGGAACGCGUCUGGAUGACCGAAUCAUUCGCACAGACUGGGACGCAGGCUUUAAGGAGGGCAGGCAAUACGGCCGUGGGCGAUCUGGGGGCCAGGUAUGCGAGAAGGGUCUCUGGGCUCAGCCAUUGCCUGGGAUUCCAGUCACAAUGACAGGUGUUUUGGCAAUUUGUAUUUACUCUUUUGUAAAUAACUUUGUGUCUAUAACCUUGGCUUGAAGUGGAUCUGAAACCACCCAACGGUUUGGGUGAAUUUUUUUUUUAAACCCUGAAAUGGUAUGUUCUGUACGUUUCUAACAAGCAACCAUUCUUGAACUUCUGCUAGGGCUAGAUAUCUUCCACCUGCAGGAACAUCUAGAAUGAAAGCAAAACGCACUGAAGUGAGUUGAAGUGCGUAUGUCCUGCUUGAAAUGUUCACAUUGUGGCAUCUGAACAGGUUUCACUGUUUGUCUAACAUGUUUGUGGGAGGCAUGUUUGUUACACCAUUCUUUUCCAUACUGUAACUCUGGAUUCUUUCCAUUAAAGGUUCGGGAUGAGUAUCGGCAGGACUACGAUGCUGGGAGAGGAGGCUAUGGAAAACUGGCACAGAACCAGUGAGUGGUGAGAGCUCCGUCAGUGACAAACACUCCUUUGGCCUGUUGAAUUUGUUGAAGAACAUCACCUAAAGUCUGCACACGAGCCCAUUUUGACCAAGAUUUGAUCAGUGUCUUUACUGAGCUGGAAGCCUCUGAAAGUUAUUAAAGGACAGAAUCCAAAAGAAUGCCUUUAAUUCUUG
RNAcentral lists this small RNA (1095 nucleotides) under Pan troglodytes (chimpanzee). RNAcentral describes it as "retained intron". Lineage: Eukaryota; Metazoa; Chordata; Mammalia; Primates; Hominidae. The record is from RNAcentral.